RNAcentral lists this ribosomal RNA (483 nucleotides) under uncultured bacterium. RNAcentral describes it as "partial 16S ribosomal RNA". It matches the Rfam family "Bacterial small subunit ribosomal RNA", at positions 355 to 855 of the family's 1533-position model. The record is from RNAcentral.
UGGGGAAUAUUGGACAAUGGGCGCAAGCCUGAUCCAGCAAUGCCGCGUGAGUGAUGAAGGCCUUAGGGUUGUAAAGCUCUUUCGCACGCGACGAUGAUGACGGUAGCGUGAGAAGAAGCCCCGGCUAACUUCGUGCCAGCAGCCGCGGUAAUACGAAGGGGGCUAGCGUUGUUCGGAAUUACUGGGCGUAAAGGGCGCGUAGGCGGCCUGUUUAGUCAGAAGUGAAAGCCCCGGGCUCAACCUGGGAAUAGCUUUUGAUACUGGCAGGCUUGAGUUCCGGAGAGGAUGGUGGAAUUCCCAGUGUAGAGGUGAAAUUCGUAGAUAUUGGGAAGAACACCGGUGGCGAAAGGCGGCCAUCUGGACGGACACUGACGCUGAGGCGCGAAAGCGUGGGGAGCAAACAGGAUUAGAUACCCUGGUAGUCCACGCCGUAAAACAUGAAUGCUAGACGUCGGGGUGCAUGCACUUCGGUGUCGCCGCUAA